Zea mays is the source of this 220-nucleotide long non-coding RNA. RefSeq lists it as uncharacterized. The record is from RefSeq and is a predicted model, not a curated record. NCBI's taxonomy places the organism in Eukaryota, Viridiplantae, Streptophyta, Magnoliopsida, Poales, Poaceae. The transcript has 2 exons.
UGUAUUCGUGCUGCACCUUCGUAAUAAGAAGGUUGCGAAAUCAAAUGGUGGUACUUGAUAUAUGUUGGGAAUGAGGGGAGUAGCAGCACGUCCACUUUCACUCUCAUAUUAAGGCUGCCCAAGCGCAUCCAUGAUUUAAUUAGAAACUUGAUAUCAAAGGAUGUUUGUUUUUUUACUAGUCAUGCGCACUGGUUAAUUCAGUUCAUGUCGUAUGUUUAAC